GUGCUCGCUUUGGCAGCACAUAUACUAAAGCUGGAACGACACAGAGAAGGUUAGUGUGGCUCCUGUGCAAGGAUGGCAUGCAAAGUCAUGAAGUGCUCCAUAUGUUU
RNAcentral lists this small nuclear RNA (107 nucleotides) under Moschus moschiferus (Siberian musk deer). The record is from RNAcentral. Lineage: Eukaryota; Metazoa; Chordata; Mammalia; Artiodactyla; Moschidae.